This 514-nucleotide ribosomal RNA is filed under the name Planaeschna milnei. RNAcentral describes it as "partial 16S rRNA". It matches the Rfam family "Bacterial large subunit ribosomal RNA", at positions 1830 to 2597 of the family's 2925-position model. Lineage: Eukaryota; Metazoa; Arthropoda; Insecta; Odonata; Aeshnidae. The record is from RNAcentral.
GUCUUCUUGUUAUAUUUAGGAAGUCUGGCCUGCCCAGUGAAAGUUAAUUUAACGGCCGCGGUAUACUGACCGUGCAAAGGUAGCAUAAUCAUUAGUCUUUUAAUAGAGGGCUGGUAUGAAGGGUUUAACGAGGUGUUGACUGUCUCAUUUAAUUUGAAUAUUAGAAUUUAAUUUUUUAGUUAAAAAGCUAAAAUAUUAUUGGAAGACGAGAAGACCCUAUAGAGCUUUAUAUUUUUAUUAUUAAUUUAUUAUAGAUUAUUAUUAUUUAUUAUUAAUAAAAAGUAUUUUGUUGGGGUGACAAAAAUAUAUAAUCAACUUUUUUAUUUUAUUUACAUUGAUACAUGAAUAUUAGAUCCAAUCUUAUUGAUUGUUAGAUUAAGUUACCUUAGGGAUAACAGCGUAAUCCCUCUCCAGAGUUCAUAUUUACAGAGGGGCUUGCGACCUCGAUGUUGGAUUAAGAUAAUAAUUAGGUGCAGCCGCUUAAUUAAUAGGUCUGUUCGACCUUUAAAUUCUU